CAACAGCUUCCAGUCAGCUCAGAGUAUAAGCAGGGCAAAUGGAUMUUUGCCUGCAAAAUACCAUGUAGACAAUCUAUCUGAGCCUUUAGAAGUAGAAUUUGUAGUAUUGGGAUGCCCUGGUACAUUGUAGCCCAUGCACUUCAGUUGCCUAUCGUCUUACACUGCUGUUGUCCUGUCUCUAGAACCAAGAUCUUGCAAAUCCAGAAGUCAAAAGCCUGCCUUCCUCUUUGCCGUUAUCCAUGAAUGAUGUAGCUAUGACCAGCCACCUGGAAAGGCAAAACAUCCAGAAGGAGAAAGGUCCCUCAGAAGARAAGAACAGGCCUAAAUCAGAUCCUGGCCCCCAUCAGUCUCAGUACGACUCACUGAGAAGAGAUUUUCCAAGCCUGAAUAAAAAUAUGGAAAAGACUGAGGAAAAUCCACUGUUGUCAGAUACAGAUGAAGACAUCAAAGAGGAAGAAGACGACUAUUACAAAACUCCAAGCAGUCUUUUAACAAAGUGUAAUACUGAAAUAUCAAAGCCUGACCCUACAGCUGAGUCUAAUGUCCCUGUGCAAGAGAAGCCAGUGCAGAAGAACACAGUAAAGGAGAACAUUUAUAUGUCAAUGAAAUCACUGUAAGUAACAACUUUAUUAAGGUUUUGAAAAUUAAAAGUGAUACAGUGAUAUAGGAA
This 670-nucleotide long non-coding RNA is filed under the name Dromaius novaehollandiae (emu). RNAcentral describes it as "lncRNA (ENSDNVG00000015358.1)". The record is from RNAcentral. Lineage: Eukaryota; Metazoa; Chordata; Aves; Casuariiformes; Dromaiidae.